AGAACGAACGUUGGCGGCGUGGAUUAGGCAUGCAAGUCGAAUGAAUCCCUUGGGGGUAACUCUAAGGGGGAAAUGGCGAAAGGGGCAGUAAGGCAUGGGCAACCUACCCCGGGGACGGGCAUAGCCGUCCUAACGGACGGGUAAUUCCCGGCGAUUCGGCGGAGGGGCAUCUCUCUGCCGGGAAACGAGUUUCGCCUCGGGAGGGGCUCAUGUAGUAUUAGCUUGUUGGUGGGGUAACGGCCUACCAAGGCGAAGAUGCUUAGCGGGUGUGAGAGCACGACCCGCGCCACUGGCACUGAGACACUGGCCAGACUCCUACGGGAGGCUGCAGUCGAGGAUCUUCGGCAAUGGGCGCAAGCCUGACCGAGCGACGCCGCGUGUGCGAAGAAGGCCUUCGGGUUGUAAGCACUGUCGAGGGGAGAAGCCGCAGGUUGAUCGACCCUGGAGGAAGCACGGGCUAAGUUCGUGCCAGCAGCCGC
Molecule: ribosomal RNA, 479 nt
Filed under: uncultured bacterium
Lineage: Bacteria
Description: SSU rRNA
Rfam family: Bacterial small subunit ribosomal RNA
Source: RNAcentral